This 428-nucleotide ribosomal RNA is filed under the name Bacteroidota bacterium. Its description in RNAcentral is "Bacteroidetes bacterium partial 16S ribosomal RNA". It matches the Rfam family "Bacterial small subunit ribosomal RNA", at positions 355 to 776 of the family's 1533-position model. Lineage: Bacteria; Pseudomonadati; Bacteroidota. The record is from RNAcentral.
UAGGGAAUCUUCCGCAAUGGACGCAAGUCUGACGGAGCAACGCCGCGUGAGUGAAGAAGGAUUUCGGUUCGUAAAACUCUGUUGUAGAGAAGAACAGCGCAUAGAGUAACUGUUAUGCGUGUGACGGUAUCUAACCAGAAAGCCACGGCUAACUACGUGCCAGCAGCCGCGGUAAUACGUAGGUGGCAAGCGUUGUCCGGAUUUAUUGGGCGUAAAGCGAGCGCAGGCGGUCAAUUAAGUCUGAUGUGAAAGCCCCCGGCUCAACCGGGGAGGGUCAUUGGAAACUGGUUGACUUGAGUGCAGAAGAGGAGAGUGGAAUUCCAUGUGUAGCGGUGAAAUGCGUAGAUAUAUGGAGGAACACCAGUGGCGAAGGCGACUCUCUAGUCUGUAACUGACGCUGAGGCUCGAAAGCGUGGGGAGCGAACAGG